UACGAAGGGGGCUAGCGUUGCUCGGAAUCACUGGGCGUAAAGGGCGCGUAGGCGGCUUAUCAAGUCGGGGGUGAAAGCCCGUGGCUCAACCACGGAAUGGCCUUCGAUACUGGUAGGCUUGAGACCGGAAGAGGACAGCGGAACUGCGAGUGUAGAGGUGAAAUUCGUAGAUAUCAAGCAGAACACCUGCGGCGAAGGCGGCCUUCUGGACGAUGACUGACGCUGAGACGCGAAAGCGUGGGUAGCAAACAGG
Molecule: ribosomal RNA, 253 nt
Filed under: uncultured bacterium
Lineage: Bacteria
Description: partial 16S ribosomal RNA
Rfam family: Bacterial small subunit ribosomal RNA
Source: RNAcentral